UAGGGAAUCUUCGGCAAUGGACGAAAGUCUGACCGAGCAACGCCGCGAGAGUGAAGAAGGUUUUCGGAUCGUAAAACUCUGUUGUUAGAGAAGAACAAGGACGUUAGUAACUGAACGUCCCCUGACGGUAUCUAACCAGAAAGCCACGGCUAACUACGUGCCAGCAGCCGCGGUAAUACGUAGGUGGCAAGCGUUGUCCGGAUUUAUUGGGCGUAAAGCGAGCGCAGGCGGUUUCUUAAGUCUGAUGUGAAAGCCCCCGGCUCAACCGGGGAGGGUCAUUGGAAACUGGGAGACUUGAGUGCAGAAGAGGAGAGUGGAAUUCCAUGUGUAGCGGUGAAAUGCGUAGAUAUAUGGAGGAACACCAGUGGCGAAUGCGGCUCUCUGGUCUGUAACUGACGCUGAGGCUCGAAAGCGUGGGGAGCAAACAGG
Molecule: ribosomal RNA, 429 nt
Filed under: Gemmatimonadota bacterium
Lineage: Bacteria; Pseudomonadati; Gemmatimonadota
Description: Gemmatimonadetes bacterium partial 16S ribosomal RNA
Rfam family: Bacterial small subunit ribosomal RNA
Source: RNAcentral